Prosopis cineraria is the source of this 998-nucleotide RNA transcript. It is a transcript of the gene named transcription factor bHLH162-like, with no coding region annotated. The record is from RefSeq and is a predicted model, not a curated record. NCBI's taxonomy places the organism in Eukaryota, Viridiplantae, Streptophyta, Magnoliopsida, Fabales, Fabaceae. The transcript is spliced from 4 exons.
CUUGCUUUUCCUCCGUGAGAGAGAGAGAGAGAGAGAGAGAGAGUCGCAUCUAAUCCUCUGAUACAGACACACCGCUCUGCUUUAUUUAAAGGUCACCACAGGCAGUUAGUUACAAUUAUCCAACAGGUUAUACAACCGAGGAACCCCUCAUAAUAUUGUUGAGAUUAUGGAGAGCAUUCCAGCUUCUUCAUCCGGAGGCGACAGAAAAGCCAUAGAGAGGAACAGAAGAAGCCAAAUGAGAACUCUUUGCUCCCAACUCAGCUCUCUCGUCCCUCGUCAAUCCCCUGGGGAGGUGAUUUCGGUGUCGGAUCAGCUGGGUGAAGCCGUGACCUACAUAAAGAAGCUUCAGAUGAAGUUGGAGAAGAUGAAGGAGAAGAAGCUCAGCCUCAUGGGAAUCAGUGACGAGGAGACGAAUGUUGAUGAGAGACAGAAGAAAAAGAGAGGAAUUGUUAUGGGGUCGAAAUCACCCCAAGUUGAGAUUCACCAAAUGGGUUCCACAUUAGAGGUUUCUGUGAUUUCUGGGUUGGAUUGCCAGUUCAUUUUCAACGAGUUCAUUCGCAUUCUUCACGAAGAAGAAGCCGAUGUUGUUAACGCCAGUUAUUCAGUCGUUCAAGAUACUGUUUUUCAUGCCAUCCACUGUCAGAAAUAAGCAACACAUAUACUAUAGUUCGGCGGCUAGUUAAGAUUUGUUGUAGUUAAAGAUACCGCAAGGGAACAAACUAUCGGAGAAUGUGAUGACAGCAGAUCAGGGAGGAUAUCGGAGAGAUUAAAGAGGUUUGUGUAUGGUUCUGGUUCUGGUGCGUUUUGAAGAGAAUGAAUGCCAACGGCUGCUUUCUGUGGAACUUUAAUAUGAUCUCAGAAAAUGUCGACUUUCUGUGCUUCAUUUUCAUAGACAAAAUUUCCAUGACACCAACUGAUCUGCACACUCAUGAGCGUGAGCGAUUUACUCUGUAGCUUCAUAAGAGUUGAGCAUUGUAAUUGUAAUAGAAAUUAAAGGC